CAUGCAGUCGAGCGGUAGAGAGAAGCUUGCUUCUCUUGAGAGCGGCGGACGGGUGAGUAAUGCCUAGGAAUCUGCCUGGUAGUGGGGGAUAACGUUCGGAAACGGACGCUAAUACCGCAUACGUCCUACGGGAGAAAGCAGGGGACCUUCGGGCCUUGCGCUAUCAGAUGAGCCUAGGUCGGAUUAUCUAGUUGGUGGGGUAAUGGCUCACCAAGGCGACGAUCCGUAACUGGUCUGAGAGGAUGAUCAGUCACACUGGAACUGAGACACGGUCCAGACUCCUACGGGAGGCAGCAGUGGGGAAUAUUGGACAAUGGGCGAAAGCCUGAUCCAGCCAUGCCGCGUGUGUGAAGAAGGUCUUCGGAUUGUAAAGCACUUUAAGUUGGGAGGAAGGGUUGUAGAUUAAUACUCUGCAAUUUUGACGUUACCGACAGAAUAAGCACCGGCUAACUCUGUGCCAGCAGCCGCGGUAAUACAGAGGGUGCAAGCGUUAAUCGGAAUUACUGGGCGUAAAGCGCGCGUAGGUGGUUUGUUAAGUUGGAUGUGAAAUCCCCGGGCUCAACCUGGGAACUGCAUUCAAAACUGACUGACUAGAGUAUGGUAGAGGGUGGUGGAAUUUCCUGUGUAGCGGUGAAAUGCGUAGAUAUAGGAAGGAACACCAGUGGCGAAGGCGACCACCUGGACUAAUACUGACACUGAGGUG
This 703-nucleotide ribosomal RNA is filed under the name Pseudomonas sp. Y4_280. RNAcentral's name for it is "bacterial SSU rRNA". It matches the Rfam family "Bacterial small subunit ribosomal RNA", at positions 54 to 753 of the family's 1533-position model. The record is from RNAcentral. Lineage: Bacteria; Pseudomonadati; Pseudomonadota; Gammaproteobacteria; Pseudomonadales; Pseudomonadaceae.